RNAcentral lists this ribosomal RNA (155 nucleotides) under uncultured bacterium. RNAcentral describes it as "partial 16S ribosomal RNA". It matches the Rfam family "Bacterial small subunit ribosomal RNA", at positions 355 to 507 of the family's 1533-position model. The record is from RNAcentral.
UAAGGAAUAUUGGUCAAUGGACGCAAGUCUGAACCAGCCAUGCCGCGUGAAGGAUGAAGGUCCUCUGGAUUGUAAACUUCUUUUAUAGGGGACGAAACCCGGGCAUUCUUGCCCGAUUGACGGUACCCUAGGAAUAAGCACCGGCUAACUCCGUG